AAAGAUCAGUUCAACCUGGGUUGUUGGGAGGAAAAUUACCUCAGAGGGAAGCUGCACUGACCCUAGAAUCCAGGGGAUAACUUCUUCGUGAGAGCUAACCGUUGCUCUUGUAUGGCAGAGCUGACGUUCCUACCAUGAAAGCAGUAUUGGAUGGGAAAGGCAAGGCAACCCCACAGAGCAGAGGCGAGCUUGUAUUAGCAGAGUCCACAUCAUUAAACCAAGCUCAAGAUGGGUGAGGGAAGAGAAAACAAUUGUACCUGGCAGGAAAAUGCACACACUGGCCAACAGAGUGCUCUCAGUAAGUUGUUAAUCCCUCCCAAGUUACUCCAGGCCUGUGUUUCAAAACACUGUGGAGCCAGAAUCAUUCUCUCCCCAUAGUUAAUUUGGGCCAACACAAGUAUGGGAAAGCCCUCCAGCACUUAGCUGGAGGCAGCAAUGCUACAGGACCCCCACAAUAAACAAUUGCUGUGCACUAAGAUAACUUCUGGCCUCCAGCGCCUAUAACUUCUCCAUGGAAAGUCUGAAUGUGUGUGGCCUCUAGACCUUCCGUCUGCUUGUGAAAGGAGCAGAAUUUCUCACUUGGAAGUUCUUACUGAGAAGAGAGCUCUUCUUUGAAGAUCUUCAGCUCAGUACGAAUGAGGCAUACAGACUCCUGAGGUCUAAUUCUGAGGAGGGCAAAAGGUGUAUAAACAUUUUGAAAAUAAUAGCUGAAGAUUUCAGCUUCUGGAAAGGAUGGAGCCAGAAAGACAGGAUUCAAUAUCCCACCUUGCGCAUCUGAGAGAUGAGAAGCAAAGAAAGCGAGUCCUAUGAUUACAGCAGCUUAAUGGCCAGAGUGUGUCAGGGCCGAACGUGUAGAGGUGCAGCCUAACAUCGUGGUCCAGCUGAGAGAGGCAGAGUUGGCGUUAUGGAGCACAAGAGACUUAGGAUUUGAUGGACAGGGUUUUGGAAACCAAACUUUACUAGGGAGAGAGAGAGAAAGAGAAAGAGACAGAAACAGACAAAGAGAGAGACAGAGAGAAAGAGAGACAGACGCACACAGAGACACAGAC
This is a long non-coding RNA of Mastomys coucha (southern multimammate mouse), 1049 nucleotides long. RefSeq lists it as uncharacterized. The transcript is spliced from 3 exons. NCBI's taxonomy places the organism in Eukaryota, Metazoa, Chordata, Mammalia, Rodentia, Muridae. The record is from RefSeq and is a predicted model, not a curated record.